RNAcentral lists this ribosomal RNA (429 nucleotides) under Chloroflexota bacterium. Its description in RNAcentral is "Chloroflexi bacterium partial 16S ribosomal RNA". It matches the Rfam family "Bacterial small subunit ribosomal RNA", at positions 355 to 776 of the family's 1533-position model. Lineage: Bacteria; Bacillati; Chloroflexota. The record is from RNAcentral.
UGGGGAAUAUUGCACAAUGGGCGCAAGCCUGAUGCAGCCAUGCCGCGUGUGUGAAGAAGGCCUUCGGGUUGUAAAGCACUUUCAGCGGGGAGGAAGGCGAUAAGGUUAAUAACCUUGUCGAUUGACGUUACCCGCAGAAGAAGCACCGGCUAACUCCGUGCCAGCAGCCGCGGUAAUACGGAGGGUGCAAGCGUUAAUCGGAAUUACUGGGCGUAAAGCGCACGCAGGCGGUCUGUCAAGUCGGAUGUGAAAUCCCCGGGCUCAACCUGGGAACUGCAUCUGAUAAUGGCAAGCUUGAGUCUCGUAGAGGGGGGUAGAAUUCCAGGUGUAGCGAUGAAAUGCGUAGAGAUCUGGAGGAAUACCGGUGGCGAAGGCGGCCCCCUGGACGAAGACUGACGCUCAGGUGCGAAAGCGUGGGGAGCAAACAGG